GACGAACGCUGGCGGCGUGCUUAACACAUGCAAGUCGAACGGAAAGGCCCUGCUUGCAGGGUACUCGAGUGGCGAACGGGUGAGUAACACGUGGGUGAUCUGCCCCGCACUUCGGGAUAAGCCUGGGAAACUGGGUCUAAUACCGGAUAGGAGCCAUUUUUAGUGUGAUGGUUGGAAAGUUUUUUCGGUGUAGGAUGAGCUCGCGGCCUAUCAGCUUGUUGGUGGGGUAAUGGCCUACCAAGGCGGCGACGGGCAGCCGGCCUGAGAGGGUGGACGGCCACAUUGGGACUGAGAUACGGCCCAGACUCCUACGGGAGGCAGCAGUGGGGAAUAUUGCACAAUGGGCGCAAGCCUGAUGCAGCGACGCCGCGUGGGGGAUGACGGCCUUCGGGUUGUAAACUCCUUUCGCUAGGGACGAAGCUUUUUGUGACGGUACCUAGAUAAGAAGCACCGGCUAACUACGUG
This 465-nucleotide ribosomal RNA is filed under the name uncultured bacterium. Its description in RNAcentral is "partial 16S ribosomal RNA". It matches the Rfam family "Bacterial small subunit ribosomal RNA", at positions 28 to 507 of the family's 1533-position model. The record is from RNAcentral.